RNAcentral lists this ribosomal RNA (509 nucleotides) under Jacobaea kirghisica. RNAcentral describes it as "eukaryotic LSU rRNA". The stretch from base 73 to 228 matches the Rfam family "5.8S ribosomal RNA". The record is from RNAcentral. Lineage: Eukaryota; Viridiplantae; Streptophyta; Magnoliopsida; Asterales; Asteraceae.
UAAGAAGGGCUUGUUCCUUGCUUUGCCGUUCGCGGUGAUUGCAUUGAAACUUGCUUCUUUAUAAUCAUAAACGACUCUCGGCAACGGAUAUCUCGGCUCACGCAUCGAUGAAGAACGUAGCAAAAUGCGAUACUUGGUGUGAAUUGCAGAAUCCCGUGAACCAUCGAGUUUUUGAACGCAAGUUGCGCCCGAAGCCUUUUGGUUGAGGGCACGUCUGCCUGGGCGUCACACAUCGCGUCGCCCCCAUCACACCUCUUGACGGGGAUGUUUGAAUGGGGACGGAGAUUGGUCUCCCGUUCCUAAGGUGCGGUUGGCUGAAUUUUGAGUCCUCUUCGUUGGACGCACGAUUAGUGGUGGUUGACAAGACCUUCUUAUCGAGUUGUGUGUUCCAAGAAGUAAGGAAUAUCUCUUUAAUGACCCUAAAGUGUUGUCUCAUGACGAUGCUUCGACUGCGACCCCAGGUCAGGCGGGACUACCCGCUGAGUUUAAGCAUAUCAAUAAGCGGAGGA